CGUAUAGGUCGUAUAGGUCGUGUAGUUGACUGAGAUAUGAAUAAACAAUUUUCUACCCAAACGCGUACUGUCAUAUCCGUCGUAUGGGUCGUAUUGCUAUACAUAUUCUACAUACAUAUUGUAUACAACAAAGAAGCCGGUAGGGACAGUGAUCCGAGGUCAGAGAAGUGAGUGGAAUAUUUAGUGUUUUAGUGCGUUGUUCGUGUGUGACACACGUGCUCUAUCUUGAAUUCUAAUGUUAUGGCAGUAUGUGAAGCUAUGUGUCGACAUAUCUGUAUUUGCAAAAUAUAGUUUUUGGUCAAUGCAUUGUAGAAGCUGAUCCAUUCAUGAACAUGCACAAAAUAACUGCAACAGGGAGGCAGAAGAGCUCCUACAUUUCUCUGAUUCUCAUCACAAUUUUAGUUUGGAUCUUGUGUCCAAUUCACACCACCCAUGUUCUCACCUUUCUUGUGUGUGAACAUAAAAUCUCAUAUCUGUUGUUGUUAAUGAAAGAAUGAAGUGUAAAAUAUUUGUGAAAAAUAUGCAAGAAUUUAUGGGACUCAAGCCAGCAUGCAGUAUUUCAGCAGAAGUUCUCAAGAAGGCUUUCAUGGACUAGAUGAACAGAGACCAUGAAUAAGACUGGGAGUCCACAAGAGACUCAGAUAUAUGGAGGGUUUCCUACAAGAAUCCUGCACUAAAAUAAUUCUGGAACUAUUAAAACUAAAUAGAAACCAAAGUACAUUAAAGUGGAGAUGAAAUCACUUUGAAUAAGACAUUGAAAAUGGUGGCCAUCUAGGUUCAUAAUCAGUAUAGUUCAUAUUUUUAAAGUAUUUCAGGAUACAGUAGCAGUUUUACUGCCAUGGGUAGAUUGCUUGCAUUGACACUAUUUUCAGUCUAUCUGUGAACACAGGAGUGUAUGUACUGAUAGUUCCUCAGAACUCUAGCCAUGGUAGAGGGGUCAUACCAUCUCUCGCAGAGCUGGGGGAGCCAUCUGAUCAGCGUACAUCAGUGUGGGUACUACCAGUUUGGAAUGUAGCAUCUUGGAAUGGUCAGUUGUAUAGUACAUUGUGUAUCUACCCCUGGUCUCCGUAGGCAGUGUUUUCCGCUCGGGGAGUAGCUCUGAAUGUCAUCACAACAAGCGUACAGCUUCGCAUGCUCCACAAGAGAAGCAUAUUGAAAGCCAAAAGGAGUCACUGAACAUUUCCAAGGCACCUGUUGUGAAACAUUAUGACUCUGGGGUAUGCGAUUUAAGUUCAUAAAAAUAAGUCAGUAAUUGCUAACACAGUGAUGCUUCUGAAGAAUUAUACUCUGCUACAUCAAGGGAUUGAAUCUAUCAGAAAUACCUGUAACAGCUGAAAUAAGGUAUGCCAUAAAAAACAGUGGUCACCAGAUAAAGUCAGUGAUGAGGACUGUCACAGAAUUGUCAGGAGACAGCAAUGUGCUGGAAGUUCAAAAAAUGUACCUCCAGUAAGGCAGAACAUAAUUGUUGUAGAACCACAAUGAGAAGACUCAGUAAAACUAUCAGCGAUAGAGAACAGGAAGAAGUUCAUGCUAUUUGUGCAGUAGGGUAAUAGCAGUACCCGUUUUGUAGCCACGAUGGCUCAGUCAGGAUUGUGACUGGUAUACGUGCCGAAUAACUGAGGAACUGGUUCUGUUUCCAGUCAUGGGAAGAUAUUUGUUUCUUUUCCACAGGAUCCAGACCAGCAUUAAGACCCAUCCACCCUCUUAUCCAGUGGAUACUCAGGGUCAUUCCCCUGGGAUAAAGCAGCCAAUGCGUGAAGCUGACAACUCCCCUCUGUCUAGUGCCAAGAUUAUGAAGGUAUGGGGCUAUAUCUCUGUUUGCCACUAUGUCUUCAUGACAUGAGGCUUUUUUAAGAACAGGGACAACUUUACAGCACUCAUUUUUCUCCUGCAGAGAAGUGCUAUGAAAAGUUUCUUUGAGGAUAUAAAAUUCCUUCACAUUCAUCAGAUCAUUUCUUACUAUUCGUCAUUUUUAAAAAAUGCUAUAUGUUACACAGAAGUAAAGAAAUAUUUGGCUCAUCAGAACAAAAGAAGUGUAUGCAUUUCUUGGAGUGCAGUUUUAGCACAGUUUUCGCUGUUUGCCAAAGAUUGAGGAUUACAGGUCAGGUGACUUAGAUUGGCUAGUCCCAACAGUGCAGCCAUGCAUGCAACAGAUACUUCGAAUCUCCUUGCACAUCUUCAUGUAAUAAUGACUCUCUGUCACACAGGAACAGAGAAAAUGUGUUGGAAGACUGAUCUGCCAUACGUAGCUCAAACAGGAAUUUUCAGGAACUUUGAAAUCCUUGUCACUAUGUGAAAUGUAUUGGAAAUCCAAAAAUUGUCACUUAUCUGUCCAUUUAUUUCACAGAAGAAAAGAUAAAUUUUCUGGAGAUUUGGUGUUGAAUGACAAUAUGAAUGGCAAAAUAAGAAGAUAAAAAAAGGCAAUAGUAGAGAGAUACUGUGUUCAUUAAAGAUGGUUGAGUCCAGGAUUCAUUCAGAGUGUACACAAUGCAGACUCUCUUUGUGUGAAUAAAAAGGAGAAUUUGAAGAGAAACAGCUGCAAGAUACAGAAGGAUUAUAUCAACUGAUAAUAUUAUGAGCAUCUUUAUUAUAAGCAUGUUCUGUUUUCCUUAAUUUCUUAGAAACUUUCUAUUUUUGUGAUUUCCUUUUUUAUUUCAUUUCGACUAUGGUAUUUGCAGAAGUAUGAAAGCCUUAUUAUUAUCAAGAAGGUCGAUAAACUGUGACAUAUAAAAGGAUUGUAGUAUUUAAGGUUCUCACAGUAGUGGUUUUGCAGAAUUCUGUCCUCUGGGACAUAACACCAUGUAGUCCAUUGAAAGUCAGUCGAGGUUUCAGAACGACAUAUCGCCUCCAUCUUCAUGGUUGAAGA
This is a long non-coding RNA of Cryptotermes secundus, 2866 nucleotides long. RefSeq lists it as uncharacterized. The record is from RefSeq and is a predicted model, not a curated record. NCBI's taxonomy places the organism in Eukaryota, Metazoa, Arthropoda, Insecta, Blattodea, Kalotermitidae. The transcript has 4 exons.